RNAcentral lists this long non-coding RNA (260 nucleotides) under Sinocyclocheilus anshuiensis. RNAcentral's name for it is "lncRNA (ENSSANG00000037824.1)". Lineage: Eukaryota; Metazoa; Chordata; Actinopteri; Cypriniformes; Cyprinidae. The record is from RNAcentral.
CAAUGGCGGCUGCCAUGAUUUCACUGUUAAAAUGUCUUUCACUGAAACCAAUUGGAUCACUUGGAAAAUGAUUGAUUUUCACUACACAAGAUGGACUGAUGGACUGGAGUGUUGUGGAUUACUUUUGGAUUAUUGUGAUGUUUUUAUCAGCUGUUUGGAGACUCUUUCUGAUGGCACACAUUCACUGCAGAGGAUCCACUGGUGCAUGUACAAUAUUGCUGCAGACGUGAGAGGUCACUGCAUGAAAAGGCUGAAGCAGG